AAAGAGAUGAUCUUUCAGGUCCCUUCAAAGGAAAACCAUCACAGAGUUGAUCCUGUGAGCCUCUGCAGGAAAGAUUCGGCUUCCCUGGUACUGGCCUGGUUCCUGUGCCUGCACCCUGCAGUUCCUGCGCCCAUCCCAAAGAUUUCCCUGCUGGCCCCACAGCCCGUUGCCGCUGCAACGCGGGUGUCACAAGAGGUGUUGUGUGGGCACAACGGUGACACUGAUUGCAACAGCCCCAGGAGGCACCUCAGCCUCUGCCCCUGCAGCAGGGAGGGACCAGGGCCAGCCCCAGCACCCCCAGAGCCAUGGGGCACUCCCGGGUUGGCCCAGGGCACUUGUGCCAGCAGCAAUUGGGGCCUGUCCCACCCACCAGCACUGCUAUAAACCCAGCGUCUUUGGGGCACAGCAGCAUUCCCUGGCCCCAAGGGCAUCUGGACACAGCCAUUCCUCUUGGGUUUGCUGCUGCCUGAACACCAAAGCCUUUGUCAGGGAGCCCUGUGAAGACCCGGGAGAGGCAGCAGCCAUGAAGAUCCUGUUCCUGCUCUUCCCCCUGAUCCUCCUGCUGGUCCAGGGUGCUGCAGGCAAUGCAAUUGUAUGCAGAAGAGUAGGAGGUUUCUGCUCGAGGCAUUUUUGCCCCCGCGGUAGCCGUUUUGUGGGAAGAUGUGCACGAGAAUUUGUGUGCUGCAAAAGUGGCAGGGGUUGAAAACCUGAAAUUCCUGAAAAGGUCAUGCCCCUCGCUUCUGGCUCCAGGACCCAUCUGCUGAUGUCCCCUUCUGCCGAUGUCCCCUCCUGUCCCUGCUGUGCCCUGCCCAGCUGGGCUGACAGCAGCAGUGGCAGCUGCUCCUGCUGGCUGCUGCUGGGCUGGAGCCCUGUGGCGCCAGCCCCGGUGUCUUUGGGGCAGGGGCUGCUUUUCCCGGCUUGAAUAAAG
Vidua macroura (Pin-tailed whydah) is the source of this 928-nucleotide long non-coding RNA. RefSeq lists it as uncharacterized. The transcript has 4 exons. The record is from RefSeq and is a predicted model, not a curated record. NCBI's taxonomy places the organism in Eukaryota, Metazoa, Chordata, Aves, Passeriformes, Viduidae.